This 1351-nucleotide long non-coding RNA is filed under the name Homo sapiens (human). RNAcentral's name for it is "HSALNT0321836". Lineage: Eukaryota; Metazoa; Chordata; Mammalia; Primates; Hominidae. The record is from RNAcentral.
AGUCUUGCCUGCUUCACAGAGUUUGCACGUUGCAGAUUUGCAGUGGAAGCUGUGAGUAAAUUUGAUUCCCUCACAGAAGUACAUUUUAUUCUUCUGGGCCACCCAGAAUCUGUCUAUUACUCUAAAUGUAGAGAGGCCUAUCUUUAUAAAGAAAACUGUUGGUGUCAGAGUUAUUUACAGAGCAUGUGAAACUUUAACUUGUCACUUUGUGGUUUGUAAACCUGUUCUUUGAAUUGCCUAUAAUUUCCCCUUUGUGUCUGCCUUUUUAGGUUUUACCCUUUAGUACCAGAAACAAUUCAAUUAGGGAAGACAAAAAAGGAUGAAACCAACAUUUAUCGGUUUUAACAUUUUGCUAUCUAGUACCUGGAAUCGUGAUUAUACAACAGAGGAAGAGCUCAGUAAAUAUUUGUUGUUGAUCAACUUUGUAGAUUUAUUAAAAGCUUCAGAAUAAGGAAAAAUGCUGAGAUUAAUGUUUGCAGGGUCUUUUGAUACCAUUUCUAAUGUCUACAAUAUUGGCAAUUUUUGAGAGAAAAUAAGAACUUGGCUUUGUCAACUAUGCAUUCAUCAAUUUAACAACUGUAUCUUUGAAUAGUAAUUCGUAACUUUUUAGCAAUGUGAAUGAUGCUAUCACUGGCGGUAAAUGGGGCCAUGGAAACACUCUGGGAGGAGGCAGCCAAAUCUGUCUUUGUAAAUCAGAGAAGCCUUCAUAAAAAAAGCCUUGAAAGAUGAGUAGUAAUGAGUCAAGUAGACAAGGGAGAGAAAAGCAUUUUGGAAAAGUCCAAAGGCAUGUUAAGUGGGAAUGAUCAUGGCAUGAUGAGAACAUUGCAAGUAAUUUAGUAUGUUUGGAGUGUAAGAUGCCUGUGGGGAAAAGAGGAGCCAGUCAUGGAAAGUGGAAAUGUCAUGUUUAAAAGUUUAGGCUCUAUCCUGUGGGUGAUAGUCAUUGACAGAUGAUAAUAAGGAGAAUGGCAUGAACAGAUUAGAGUUUCAGAAGGAUACUUAGGCAACACUGCAUGCUGCUGAUGGACUGGGGGGCAAGAGGGAGACCAGCUGGAUAAAUAAUAUAGGAGCCAAGGUGAUUAAUGUGACAGGGACAGUAGAGGCUGAAAGGAGGUUGUGAGCUUGAUCUGAUUGGUUGUAGAAGGUGGGGGAGGAGAAGUCUUGGCCAUUUGGUACCGGGUUAACUCAUCUCUGGUAAUGGAAGGCAGAGACAUUUGUGUAAAUGAAAUAUAGAAGGAGAUCAAAAUUUUCCCCACUCAACAUUCUACUAAUUGUGCAGAUUUAAGAGUCUCUCCCCGCCCCCAACCCCCCAACCCCCAUCUCUCCUGGAAUGGUUAAUGAGUAAUGAAGUGGA